Molecule: long non-coding RNA, 308 nt
Organism: Herpailurus yagouaroundi (jaguarundi)
Lineage: Eukaryota; Metazoa; Chordata; Mammalia; Carnivora; Felidae
Exons: 2
Source: RefSeq, a predicted model, not a curated record
CCGGCUCAAGGCCGAUCCUUCUGGUGACGCAGACGGACUCUCUGUGGCUACCGUCAUCUACCGACACCGAGAAUAACCCACCUCUCUGAGCUCCACGCCUCCAGAAACACUGUGUCGUGACAGAGCCCCAUCAGUGUGCCCCCACCUAAAACGCUGUAAAUUUGAUCCAGAAAAUAUUCUUUGUCCAAGUGUGGAUUUAUUUCAAAAUUGUCAAGAUUUAUAUAUUAUUUUACUACAUAUGACAAGCAACUCUUAGCUUAAAGUAAAAACUUUCACAUUUAAGGUGGUUUUUAAAAAAAAGAUACUUU